Molecule: ribosomal RNA, 425 nt
Filed under: uncultured bacterium
Lineage: Bacteria
Description: partial 16S ribosomal RNA
Rfam family: Bacterial small subunit ribosomal RNA
Source: RNAcentral
GUGGGGAAUCUUGCGCAAUGGGCGAAAGCCUGACGCAGCCAUGCCGCGUGAAUGAUGAAGGUCUUAGGAUUGUAAAAUUCUUUCACCGGGGACGAUAAUGACGGUACCCGGAGAAGAAGCUCCGGCUAACUUCGUGCCAGCAGCCGCGGUAAUACGAAGGGGGCUAGCGUUGCUCGGAAUUACUGGGCGUAAAGGGCGCGUAGGCGGACAUUUAAGUCAGGGGUGAAAUCCCGGGGCUCAACCUCGGAACUGCCUUUGAUACUGGGUGUCUUGAGUAUGAGAGAGGGGGGUGGAACUCCGAGUGUAGAGGUGAAAUUCGUAGAUAUUCGGAAGAACACCAGUGGCGAAGGCGACACACUGGCUCAUUACUGACGCUGAGGCGCGAAAGCGUGGGGAGCAAACAGGAUUAGAAACCCUGGUAGUCC